UUUAUUACUGAGUAUUUUUAUUAUUGAGUAUUUUUAGCAUUGAGUAUAGUAAUAUUUGUGUAUUGAGUAUUUGAGUCUUAAAUAAAUUUGAAAUAUUAAAAAAAAAUCAGCAGAACUUAAGAUAUACUUAGGAGUAAGAGGGAGGAAAAUGGAUGGUAACAGAGUUCGCUAAAAUAAUUUUAUUUAGUAAUUUCUGUAUUGCUUAGUAAAUAGUGCAUGGAAUGACAUUAUAAAACUAUUGUUCCAUGUUUUACUGCUUCACAGCUAUACAGAAAAUUAAGUAAAAUUAUAUCGCCGAAUUAUUCUACUACCAUCCAAAUCCUCUUGCUUACUCCAAAAAUAAAAAGCAACGCAAGAUAAUAUCAGAAAAUACAAAAUCUAAUAUUAUAUGGCAUCGAAACUAGUGCAAAAUAAUAUAACGGCGAAAGCUAGAUAAUAUUAGUUUAAAUAGAAUCUAAUGCAGAGCAAACAGCGACCUCUUGGAUCUUUCUAAUAUUAGAAGUUGUGCAAGAUAACGAUAGAUUUUACCAAUUUUCUGAUAUUAUCUAAUAUUAGGGGCUACUUAGGACUUGUUCUUAUUGGGAGAAUAAGAAAAACUAAGAGAAAGUUACUUUCAGGCUUUUAUAAUGAGCCCAAUUACCCCUUUAAUGCUAAAUAACACGUUUUUACCAAGAUCGAUAUCGCUAAAUAGAUUAUGUAUUUCUUCUGAAACAAAGGAAAAAAAAGGCUCAAUUUUGAUAUUUUAUAGCCAUCAGGGUAAUUAAACUAUUCAACAGUUAUGCUAGAUAACACGUUUCCUCAAAUUAUACCCUUGUACUUAGCGCAGCAUAGCCAUUUCCGGCUUUUAUUCAAUUAAACCGUAAAGAGGUGGUUCAUGGUGGUGGACGACUACGUAGAACCUUGAAUCGAUUAGUUUCUUUGGGCAGAUGAACUCGCCGUCACACGCAAGUCUGAGAAAAGUUUUAACCCUUCGACUUGAAUUUAAAAUUCUAAUGCUGAGAAUGCAGAGAAAGCGUUGAACCACGAUGCAAAACUGGUCACAGCAGAUGACUCUAAAAUUUGGACCAUUCACGUUUUCGAAUUUUUCGUAUUCAGUGUGUACAUUUUUUUGCGGCAAUCCUGCCGAAAGCAACCCGAACCAACAAGGAGCCAAAGAACAAUGUGGAACAGCGGAGUUCGAGUAGGUGGUCCUAUUCUUCGCCGCCGCAACACUGUGUGCGAAUCAAAUUUUCUUUCGCAUGAUAUUGGUGAAAAUUAUGAAUGAAUAUUCACUAGCGAAAAAUUCGCUUUUGAGAUUCACUUUUGCAUGCAGUGACAAUGGCUUUUUACAAAUUGAGUAUUUCCAUUUGAACGGGAUAGUAACAUUUGCAGAAAUAGGCAACCGGAUCCUUUACAUAAUUAUGAAAUCAGUUUGUAAACAAACAAUAGGCUGUGAUAACUAUUCUCAAUACUGAGCAUUUCACUAAGCAUACCCUUAAUUAUUUAAUGAAAAUAGUUUGAAAUAUUCCAGUAUGUGUAUCAGCAUUAGUCAAUGUCAAUUAAGAAUGGUAAUUGUUAAAACUGGAGGUGAGUUUUAUCACUGAAUAGCUUUUUCUGGAGUCCUUAAGCAUGGCAAGGAUACCAGUAAUGAGUGUAUCAGCAUCCAUUAAUGAUCCUGUUGCUGUUGUGAAUACUUACUGUUCAUAUGUAUCAAUGCUCAAAGAUCCUGUUGCAAAGGAUGAAAGUAAAUUGAAAGCUUUGCCAGAAUCGAGUGGAGAGCUUGAAUUUUGAGUUGCUGUCCUGAUUUUUUCGUUGGCCUGCUACAAAGCCUGUUUAAUGUCUUCAGCUUUGGCAAUCAACUUCGUAAGACAAUUGUAGAAAUAAUUCAUACGCUCCCUGCUAAUAAUCAUUUGCUACCUGAUAGCAAACCAAUCUUGUCUUUAAUGUUCAAAUCAUUGGAAGUGGAAAAUGAGGAAAACAUGUUAGUAGUUUUCAGAAUAAUCAUGGAAUUUCAUAAGACCUUCAGGCCACCAUGAAGCGUGGAAAUACAGACGUUUCUGCUUUAUGUAAAGACUAUUUACAAAGAUCUGCCUAAUUACUUGCAUCUUAUGUUUGAACUACGGCCUAUUCCAAAAGUAAAAAUUUUAUCGGCAGCUACAUCGGAACCGUUAUUGAAAGAAACAUUUACCAUAGCACUGAUUCAAAUUAAGAAAAGUUAAAAAAGGGGCCCAGAUUCAACUACUCAGAUGGUCAAUUUAAUCCCAAAGGCUACUAUGUCCUUAAAGGCACUGGCAGAGCUACCUAUAAUUGUUGUCUUGAUGUACCAGCUAUAUAAAAUAAGUGUUCAUAAAGAUGUCACAGAAUUUACACCAUUGAUAAUGACAACUAUUACUUUACAACUCACAGCUCAAUGGAGGAGCAAUCCAUCUUUCAACAAAGAAGUUUAUGUUGACUUUAUGCAUGCACAGAUAAAAACAUUAUCUUUUCUGACUUACUUAGUUAGAAUAUAUCAGAAUGCUGUGAAUGAACAUUCUUCUCAGUUUGCUAAAGGAAUGAUAGGAUUGUUGUGUCUAUGUCUGCAAGAAGUGGCCCAUUUGUGCAAAGAAUUGCUUGUAGCAGCCUGUCAUAUGUCAGCCACAGAUCUAAGAGAUAGCCUCUUGCUUAUAGUACUUUCGCUAAUCUUGCUCAUCGUGGGAGACAAUAUUUAUAGUUGAAGGAUCUGGCUAAGGCUGUAAAUGUGUUCUUAAAAAAUGUUUAUGAUGAAUCUUUCGUAACUACAAUUCAAACAAUGUCUUGUAUGUUUAUUCUGAAUUUAGUUGAAUGCAUUAGAAUAAGAUCUGAUCCAUAAAAUGGCAAUGGCCAGGAGUUGUUAAAGAGGAUGUUUGAAGUUGUGGUUUUAAAAUUUGAAACUAUUUCAAAGCUGCAGCUGCCUGUCCUGCAG
Non-coding RNA from Parasteatoda tepidariorum (common house spider), 2920 nucleotides. The record is from RefSeq and is a predicted model, not a curated record. NCBI's taxonomy places the organism in Eukaryota, Metazoa, Arthropoda, Arachnida, Araneae, Theridiidae.